UAGAAUGUUCUGUCUUUAUUAAUAAUGAAUAAUUACUUUAACAAUAGCGUGGAAGUUACAGUAAUGGUUCGUUAAAUCAUUUAAACAAAAUACAAAUUAUAUAUGAAGAACACAAACUAGUGUUUGUUCUGCCCUAACUUUGUAUAACAUGCAACUUUAUUUUUUCUUGUAGAGCUUCCAGGGAUAUUAGCAUCUCUCAAAGAGGCCCUGGAGUCCAUGAAACAAGGUUCAUUCAGCUCAAGCCCAAGAUCAUCUGAGCUGUGUCUUCCUGAAACCUCAGACAUGAUUUCCCUCGGUGGUUCUGAUGUCCCCAAAAGAGUCUAUGGCAGACUGAACAAGUCACGAACUUCUCUUUUUACUCACGACUUGGCCACUUUACUUUUUGCUAUUGCAUUUCACUUUGUUUGACUUAAAGGAUUAGUUCACUUAAAAAAAA
Molecule: non-coding RNA, 436 nt
Organism: Pimephales promelas (fathead minnow)
Lineage: Eukaryota; Metazoa; Chordata; Actinopteri; Cypriniformes; Leuciscidae
Source: RefSeq, a predicted model, not a curated record